AACGAACGCUGGCGGCGUGGAUAAGACAUGCAAGUCGAACGGGAUAGAGUGGUAGCAAUAUCAAUCUGUUCAGUGGCGAACGGGUGCGUAACACGUGGGUCACAUUCCGGGAAGUGAGAAAUAGCCCAGGGAAACUUGGAUUAAUAUCUCAUGUGGUCGCAAGACUAAAGGCGCAAGCCGCUUCCUGAUUGGCCCGCGGCCUAUCAGCUUGUUGGUGGGGUGANGGCCUACCAAGGCGACGACGGGUAGCCGGCCUGAGAGGGCGACCGGCCACACUGGGACUGAGACACGGCCCAGACUCCUACGGGAGGCAGCAGUGGGGAAUCUUGCGCAAUGGGCGAAAGCCUGACGCAGCGACGCCGCGUGAGGGAUGACGGCCU
Molecule: ribosomal RNA, 380 nt
Filed under: uncultured bacterium
Lineage: Bacteria
Description: bacterial SSU rRNA
Rfam family: Bacterial small subunit ribosomal RNA
Source: RNAcentral